This 607-nucleotide ribosomal RNA is filed under the name Shewanella sp. 19Va. RNAcentral describes it as "bacterial SSU rRNA". It matches the Rfam family "Bacterial small subunit ribosomal RNA", at positions 115 to 718 of the family's 1533-position model. The record is from RNAcentral. Lineage: Bacteria; Pseudomonadati; Pseudomonadota; Gammaproteobacteria; Alteromonadales; Shewanellaceae.
GCCUAGGUAUCUGCCCAGUCGAGGGGGAUAACAGUUGGAAACGACUGCUAAUACCGCAUACGCCCUACGGGGGAAAGGAGGGGACCUUCGGGCCUUCCGCGAUUGGAUGAACCUAGGUGGGAUUAGCUAGUUGGUGAGGUAAUGGCUCACCAAGGCGACGAUCCCUAGCUGGUCUGAGAGGAUGAUCAGCCACACUGGAACUGAGACACGGUCCAGACUCCUACGGGAGGCAGCAGUGGGGAAUAUUGCACAAUGGGCGAAAGCCUGAUGCAGCCAUGCCGCGUGUGUGAAGAAGGCCUUCGGGUUGUAAAGCACUUUCAGCGAGGAGGAAAGGUUAAGUCUUAAUACGGCUUAGCUGUGACGUUACUCGCAGAAGAAGCACCGGCUAACUUCGUGCCAGCAGCCGCGGUAAUACGAGGGGUGCAAGCGUUAAUCGGAAUUACUGGGCGUAAAGCGUACGCAGGCGGUUUGUUAAGCAAGAUGUGAAAGCCCCGGGCUCAACCUGGGAACUGCAUUUUGAACUGGCAAACUAGAGUCUUGUAGAGGGGGGUAGAAUUUCAGGUGUAGCGGUGAAAUGCGUAGAGAUCUGAAGGAAUACCGGUGGCGA